UUCUUACAUUCACUGAGACGACAGAACAUAGCUAUAGAAGUGGAUGCCUUUGGAACUAGAAAUGGCACAGAUGACCUAUCUUACAAUGGUGCUAUCAUUGUGUCAGGUGAUGAAAAGGAUCACAGAUUUUCAAUAGCAUGUAAUACAAAACGGCUGAAUUGCUUUCCUGUCCUCCUGGAUGUCAUUAGCAAUGGGCUACUUGGAAUUUUUAAUUCGUCAGAACACAUUCAGACUGACAGAAGCACAUUUUUUGAAGAGCAUAUGGAUUAUGAGUAUGGGUACCGAAGUAACACCUUCUUCUGGAUACCGAUGGCAGCCUCUUUCACUCCAUACAUUGCAAUGAGCAGCAUCGGUGACUACAAAGUAAGAAAAGUUAAAGUCUUCACAUGUUUUUUAUUUCUAGAGAACCCUUCCCCCACCCUUAUGACUAUAAAUUUAUAUGCAAGUGGUAAAUCUAAUUUUUGUACUUGACGCAAUGAAUAAUCAAGCACUUUAAUAAUAAUUGCCAAAUAUG
Molecule: small RNA, 514 nt
Filed under: Pongo abelii (Sumatran orangutan)
Lineage: Eukaryota; Metazoa; Chordata; Mammalia; Primates; Hominidae
Description: retained intron
Source: RNAcentral